UUAUAAAUAACAGCUACAUCUGUUUUCCUUCAAACCACCAAGAGUGUGUAUGUAUACGUGUGGGGGUGUGUGCGUGUGUGUUUAUCUAUGCAUGGAACCACACUGUGUAUGUCGGGUUUGUUCAGCGCCAGUGUAAUGAAGAGAUAAGAAGGUGAGAGGAUUUCUUGGUUUGGUGGGCUGGUACCGGAAAUUCAUACCUUCUUUUGCCGAACGAUCAGCUGUACUGAACCAUCUAACAAAGGGUGCAGCCCCCAACAAAGUGUGCUGGACAGAAGAUUGUGAUCGAGCCUUCAAAGAUCUCAAGCAAGCGGUAUGUACUCAUCCUGUUUUGCACACACCAGACUUCACUAAGCCAUUCAUCUUACAAACAGAUGCUUCGGGAGUGGGACUUGGAGCUGUCCUUCUACAAGAGGUGGACGGUGAAAGAAGACCUGUGGCGUUUCUGAGUCGGAAGCUGCUUGACAGGGAGACACGAUAUUCAACAGUGGAAAAGGAGUGCUUGGCCAUGAAGUGGGCUAUUGAGGCCCUGAGGUAUUAUCUUUUAGGACGUCACUUUAUUCUAGAGACGGACCAUCGUGCCCUCCAGUGGUUGAGACGAAUGAGGGAUGCCAACGCCCGUAUCGCUGGAUGGUACUUGUCACUGCAGCCAUUUGACUUCACAGUCCAGUACAAGCCAGGGAAGUCUAAUGUGGUUGCUGACUGUUUAUCCAGAGUGUCAGAGGACUGAGGGUGUUUGGACAAAUGCUGCCCCGGGGGUCCAGACACCAUAUAUAGUCUCUGGGAGAGGCCAUUGAAAAGUGUGUGGGGGGGGAAUUGUUUAUGGGUUUUGUGGUGUUUCAUCUGGUGUAAUGAUAAAACAUAAAAUAUUUAUAAAAAGUAAAUAGAAAUGUUUAUAUUUAGUAAAAGGUAUUUUAAUUAAAUAACUGGAUAUUGAUGAAUUGAGAUUCCCCUGUGAAUUAAAGGUGGUUUGAUCCGUCACAGCUGGGACUAUUUAAGACUGCAGUUUUCACCUGUGAAGUUGUUGGUUGAUGUGAUGUGAAGAAUAAAACAACUGCUGUUUUCCACCUGA
Molecule: long non-coding RNA, 1069 nt
Organism: Xiphophorus hellerii (green swordtail)
Lineage: Eukaryota; Metazoa; Chordata; Actinopteri; Cyprinodontiformes; Poeciliidae
Exons: 2
Source: RefSeq, a predicted model, not a curated record